RNAcentral lists this ribosomal RNA (253 nucleotides) under uncultured bacterium. RNAcentral describes it as "partial 16S ribosomal RNA". It matches the Rfam family "Bacterial small subunit ribosomal RNA", at positions 524 to 776 of the family's 1533-position model. The record is from RNAcentral.
UACGUAGGGAGCGAGCGUUAUCCGGAUUUAUUGGGUGUAAAGGGUGCGUAGACGGGUUAGCAAGUUAGUUGUGAAAUCCCUCGGCUUAACUGAGGAACUGCAACUAAAACUGGUAAUCUUGAGUACAGGAGAGGUAAGUGGAAUUCCUAGUGUAGCGGUGAAAUGCGUAGAUAUUAGGAGGAACACCAGUGGCGAAGGCGACUUACUGGACUGUAACUGACGUUGAGGCACGAAAGUGUGGGUAGCGAACAGG